UCCAAAUUAAUUAUCUUUAUAUAUAUUUUCUUCCAUUACAAAAAGCGAAAAAUAUUAAAAUAUGUGUAAAAUUUUAACAAAAUUCACGAGAAUUUUCUAUGAAUAAUUUUUCAAUAUAUCAUAGCGUUUUUCUUCUUCACAACUCCCCAUCAAAUUCUUGGCUAGAAGUCCUUUCUAAAAUUUUGAUUUCUUGGAUCCUCUUAUAGCACUUUUAAGCAAUCUAGUAGAGCAAUGAAACCACAAAGAAAAAGCAUUUGGUGAUAGACUACAUCGUGAAAAAUGACUUAACAAACACAAAAGGAGAAAUUGAAAAUAAGUACUGGCUAAACCACAAAAAACUACGUAUGACAGAGGAGACAAUAAUAAUAUCAAAAUCAUGAAUGUCUUGACAUUAGAGGACCUUUGUACUUCCUUCUGAAAUGCAUGCAUGGUUUUUCUCCUUGAAAUCUUUUCAUACCUUUUGAAGAAGUAAUAAAGUAAAGUUGACAAUUUUGUCUUCUCAAGAGGUGUGAAUAUUGCAUCAAAUCCUACCAACAUAUUGCAAAUGUCAAAAAGGGCUCAAGAAUUUUAACCUAAAAACAGAAAUUUCAAAACCUUUUAUGAAAUGGCGAUUAACAAACAAAACCUUUUGAAAAAAGAAAAAGAGAUACAUGUUAUUGAUCAUCAUUUUUUCAACAAAUGUAAGAAUUUCAUAUGUGUUCAUUAUAUUGUUGUUCUCCAAAUUAUCUUUAUCCCGCUGAGCAUGUUAGGCAUUUGAGCACAAGGGACUAAAAGAUUACAACGGAUUAAAUGGAAAAUUUGGUAAUUAAAAGAUUUAAGUGAGAUGUAAGUUACAAUUGUGGAAGUAUAUAAUGAAAGUUAAAACUUAAAAUUAAAUGAAAGAAAAGGCCUCAUCAGUUUCUUCCCUAUAAAGUCAAAAAUCCUAUUGUGCAAUAAGUAAUCUCUUUAUGCUGGCGUUAAAUUAGGCUUUUGUUCAUGAAUUAAGCAAAAUGAGGUUAAAAGUUAAAAAAAAAGGACAAAAAAAUAAAUACUAAUGCUUGGCAUAGAGAGGUGUUAACUUCCUUCACCGCGAGCUUAAGUGUAAAUUUGCCUUUUCCGACCUUAAAAAGUUCAGUAAUUAUUUGAUAGUAAGGCUUCAUCUUGUAUCAUUUUGUAACUCAAUGAGUUACAACAUGUCCUUUGUUAAGAAGCAUAAAAGGCUUGUAGUUGGUUGUUUUGAAAUCGUUACUCUUCUAAUUUCUCCCAAUUGUAAUUCUACAUGCAAUUCUUCAAUUUUUCUUGUCCUUCUUGCCUUUCAGAAGAAGAAUCAGUUAAAGAAAAAAAGAAAGAGACAACAGAAAAGAAAUAGAGCAAGGUCAAAUACUUUAGAGUUUAGAAUUAAGCGUAAUAUAUUACACAUAUGCGUAAAAUAUUUUCUUGUAAAUGAAAAAAAUCCGCGAAACCUUAAAUAUAGAAAAGCUCACAUGGAAAAUAUUUGAAAAAUGGAGAAGGUUUGAUGCCAUAAAACAUCCAUAGAUGUACAUUUUAUAGUUGAUAAAUUGCAAUUAUAGUGGACAAUGAAAGGUUAAUCGGUUAUAAUACUAAUAUAUAUAAGUGGCUUAAAGCAGACAAAAGACGAUUGUCCCGUCAGCUUAGGCCAAGGGCAAUUUUGUCAUUUUUCAUAUUUCGUCCACCACACAGCCCUUCUGAGGACAUUUAUGUCAUUUGACAACAAUCUCAAUCACCGCAAAAACCUAGAUUCAAUGCCGACAUAGAUGGUGGUGGAGAUGGAGGAGAAGUUGACGAAAAUGAAACUUCUAAAUCUGAAUCUAAAGCUCACAUGAAUAAAAUUAGGACAAAGAAGACAUCCCAUCCGUUGUUGCUUCAGACCUCGAUUGCAACGAAGGUUUCAAAUAGGCUACGUCUCCAAAUUCACAACCACCUUGGUGUUAUGUGUGGUGGCUCUGAACAAAGUUUUGAUUCUUCCAAACACAAGCUCACACUAGCUAAUUCGCAAACCUAUGUUAAAGAACGAGCUCAAAGCUAAGUAGAUGAACAAAACCCAGAUAACAAAAUAUUGCCUAAGAAAUCAAUCGCCAGGAAAUCAAUCGCCAGCAUGAAAACUAUAACAUAAGAAGAUGAAAUAAAAAUUUCACAUCCAAAUUAAAGUAAUAUGGCUUGCGUCUCUACUGAAAAUUGCGAGUUGCUGAGUAAGAUUUCAGAAACAAAAGUGCUGAGGAGGCUAAAAUGAUAAAUUUUCAUAGCAAUUGCAGAAAUCAAUUGGUACUAGCUAAGGAUUAAUGAAAGUUUGAAUGGGACAAAGGAGUAAAAUUGAGAGCUUACAGUGGUCGGCGUCUCGGCGGAAAAAAAAAAGGAAUAUAGCAUAUAGAAAAAGGGGGAGGAUGAACAAGAGCGCGCUCCAUUCAUUUUACUAUUUAGAAAAAAUAAUACAGAAAAUAAAUAAAAUUUUUGAAUCUGGAUGUCUUAAUUAAAGUAGUAUCAAAUAUAUCAAAAUAUCUUUUAAAUUUGUGGUCAAUGUGAAAAGUUAAAAUUAAAAUAUUAUUAAAAAGAAAAAGAGAUAAUUUUUUUAAAACGAAUAAG
This 2580-nucleotide long non-coding RNA is filed under the name Capsicum annuum. Its description in RNAcentral is "long non-coding RNA (CANN_LNC008250)". Lineage: Eukaryota; Viridiplantae; Streptophyta; Magnoliopsida; Solanales; Solanaceae. The record is from RNAcentral.